RNAcentral lists this long non-coding RNA (26759 nucleotides) under Aquilegia coerulea. RNAcentral describes it as "long non-coding RNA (ACOE_LNC002189)". Lineage: Eukaryota; Viridiplantae; Streptophyta; Magnoliopsida; Ranunculales; Ranunculaceae. The record is from RNAcentral.
UGAUAUUGAGUUUGAUACAAAAGAAGAAGAUGAACUUUUCUCUUCAAUCUUCAAUUCAUAAAAAGCUACCUAAACUUAGCUACUACUUCCCUUAUAUAGAAAAUACAAAGUAGAAUACUUGCAUGCAAAGACUUCCAAAUUAGGUCAAAUUUGUGGCUACUGCUGGUAGUCUUCUUGAGGCAUUACGUCUUCAGAAAAACCUAAUUCUCUUGGGCGUAAGUUGUAGCUUGGAUCAAGACCUUCAAUUUGAUAGCUCAUGGGCGCAAAUCAGACUUCUGGAUCUCCUUGUAGAGCAUUUUUAAGUUUGGACUUUAAAUAAAGCCCUAAAUAGAAAAUCUGACUUGUGAGCUCCAAUAGAACCCGGUUUGGGUUGAGAUUUGGACCGCCCCACUUUGACAUAAAGUCAAGUCAACUGAAGUGACCUUGGGGUGCCCUCAGCAGAUCUGUGGGUGCAAAUAUCAAUUCUUUUCCUCUUGUGCAAAUAACACAUUUUUGCUUACUUUUCUUGACUUUUUGCGGGCUUUAACACAAUAUUCGCAUUUCGGCUCAUGAAACCUACCCAAUAGACAAGAAAGCACUAAUCAAUAAAUAUAACACAAUAAUAUAAGCUAAGUUCUAGACAAACAAGGUGUUAUUAGGGGGAUAAAUAUAAACUUUUGAGGACUUAUCAAAUGGUUAAAUAACUAAAAAUGACAACAACGUUUGCAACAAUUUUCACUUUUAACAAUGUAUUGCAAAUCAUAACAAUGAAGUGAAGUUUCAUUACACUCGAUAACAACUAUGUUUUCUUCCGGUACAACUAUGUUUUCUUCCGGUACCGGAAGCCGGUGAUCGGUCCACAUGGUAAUUGUAUAAGCUGAUAUGUCAAUAAAAAAUUUAAAAAAAUACACUUAAUCAAAUAAAAAGUAUUAUAUCAAAGACAAUAAUAUAGCAUUAUAUAUUAUUAUCAAAGUAGGGUUUGUGACUAAAGUAUGUAAAUUUUUUAUGUAAAUUUAGGGAUUUUUAAUUAUAGUAAUAUAUUAACGAAAUUGAUUCUCACAAGUACAAUAAUAAAUCAUUAUACAAUUUUAUGACCUAAAUCAUAUUAUUGAUUAUAUGUGUGUUUUUUUUUAUUGAUAGGUCAAUUCUACAAUUGCCACGUGGACAGGUUAUCAUCGGCUUCAGCUACCGGAGCAAAACAUGGUUGUUAUCGGGUGUAAUAAAAAUUCACUUGGUUGUCAUGAUCUGCAAUACAUUGUUAAAAGUGAAAAUUGUUGCAAACGUUGUUGUUAUUUUCAGUUUGACCCUUAUCAAAUACCCCCAAACAACACUUUGCUUGUCCUCAAGCAAAGGUUAGAAGAAAAUAAUUAAGGACUCAAAAGAGAAGUAAAACUAAGAUGAUUGCAUUAACCAUAUGCAUCAAGGCUUUCAACUACAAGGAUUUCCCAAGUGAAGGAGUUAUAGUCUCUUGAGGGUUUUCCAGAGAAGAUACCCACAAACUUACUACAAUGACUAAUCCAAGGAAUAAGAUUUUCUACCAUUUACUUCAGAAAUGGUCAUAUCAAGGAUAAGGAUAAAUAUUUUAAAGUCGUUCAUAUGAGAUAACAUAAUACAAAUGUAACGCCCCGGGAUUUCGUCCUCGCUCAUCCCAGUGCGUCGAGCACCAUACCGCUCGCUAAUGUCAAUAUUGACCCCCUUUAGUUACUGCGGAUAUCCAGCAGUAGAGGGUUUUGGAUCAGGGCCCACCCAUGUGGUUUACCCCAAAAGGCCUUGACAUUAGUUAGAGUAUGGUUAAGCUCUAUAUACUACCAGUACAACCACUUCCUUGGCAAUGUGGGACUAACACCAACUCAUGGGUGUUACAAUCUCACCACCUUAGAAAUAGAGCCGUCCUCGGCUCUGCAGUACACUCAGUACAGUCCCAAAAUCUCCGACGUUCCCUGCCAAGUGAGACAAGUACCUGGCGCUCCCUGGGCCUUUCCAGCGUACUUUCCCACCUGCAACAGGCGACCCGUCGUCGGCUCUGAUACCAUCUGUAACGCCCCGGGAUUUCGUCCUCGCUCAUCCGGUGCGUCGAGCACCAUACCGCUCGUUAAUGUCAAUAUCGUCCCCCUUUAGUCACUACGGAUAUCCAACAGUAGAGGGUUUUGGAUCAGGGCCCACCCAUGUGGUUUACACCAAAAGACCUUGACUUUAGUUAGAGUAUGGUUAAGCUCUAUAUACUACCAAUACAACCACUUCCUUGGCAAUGUGGGACUAACACCAACUCAUGGGUGUUACAACAAAUGCAUGAAUAAUAUAUGAAAUAUAAACCAAACAUAACGGUUUCAAAUGCAUUGAAGACAGGCAUGUACCCAUGCUACCACGGGUUAUAAGUCACCAUUGGAAAGGUCGCCUUGACUUCUGCCUCACAGGCAUACACUCAGAAAUAAAAGUCACUCAGAGAUGGUGUUUAUCAUUUUACCUCUAUGUGAGGAAAGAAGAUGGACAAUCAUCUCACAUAUAUCAAUAACAACGGACUGGGGUAAUGGAAUGAACAGUCUCAAAUAAUGGAAAAAUUAGCCUUCCUUGAAAUGUCGGGUUUUUCACCUUAGCACCUUCUCACUUACUCGCCACAUCCUACCAUAUCAGCUUAGAUCUACAAAAGACAGUAAUGGGUUGUAACUUGGCUUAGGACAGGGCUAGAAAUGUAAAAGGCUCCAGCCAAUAUUUUGGAAUCUUCCUUUCUUUUUGGAUUUGAUAUAGUUUGGGAGAAUUCUUGUUUUUUCUGGAAUUUCUUCAAACUUUUUGUUUUUCAAUAUUUUGUUUAUCUGACUAGUUUGAAGAUUUCUUUGUAUUUCUCCUUUCUUCUUGUAACCACAUAAACAAUCAUCCUCAUGUUCCAAAAACAAUGGGUAAAAGGACCUAUAUAUUCUAAAGAUAUUUACUCCUACAAUGGAGUUGGGUAAGGAUAAUGGGCUCAAGAAAAAGGCUAAGUAACAAGAACGGCUCAUAAUGGUCAACCUAAGGGAUAAAAAUCAUCAGGGUAGGCUAAGGUAAACAGGGUUUAUCUAGAUGUCUUUGUAUCAUUUCUAUUUACUGAUAUGGUGAUCACAUCUUGAAUAAGCUACAAGACCCAAGUUUAUAUUACACCCACUUGAUUUCAUCUCAAGGCUAAUUACAAAAAAUGAAUAUGAGACUAAAAACAGACAAAACUGAGAGGUUGAGUCUUUUGACUCCAGAUUGAUGUAAUAUCUCUCCACGAAAAGGACGGGGCUCAAAAGCUCACUAGGUUAAGUCUCCACACUUAUUCCUCAAGUUUCUCAAGGUGUAGUUGUAUUUGCACAUGUAAUCUGUAAUAAAUACAGAUGAAUGCCAUGCAUACGCUCAUGCAAAUGUAGUAUAAGACUCAACUACUUGGUGAAGCAAUAAAUGUCCUUAAACUUGAAAAGAAAAGAAUUCGACCAUUAUAUUCAUGAUUGAUGGUGUAUUUAUCCUGUUUUUUUGAAAAGUCUUUGUAACAAAGAUUUUUGUUGAUUUUUCAAAAAUUUUGAAUUUUUACACAAGUAUGGAUAAAGAAGUUUGAAAAUCAUUCGCAAAAAGGAUUGUAAUACUUCCCUACCCCCAAACAAAAAGAUUGUCUUGUCCUCAAGGCUCAUACUAUGCAUAGGAGAGAGAGUAAGAAAGAUAUUACCAUGAAUGUACUAAAAAUUCAAGCCGCUUUAUAAAUUCCUGCUAAACAAAAUUAUCUCCACAUAUAUAGAGAUUAUAAGGAAUUCCAUACUAAGACAACUGAAUUAAAAUAUACUGAAAUAAAGGACUAACUCAACAGAAAAGGGAAAUCCUAAUACUCAGUGUUAGGCACCCAAGUGAAUAACCCAUAAAGCGGCAGUAGCCUCAUUAGUAGGAAGGCAAGUAGUAGGUGCACCAUUAACAUAAUUCUGAGGAUAGAAGGAAAAAGUCUUUGUAACAAGAAAGGCUCAGAAUGGUCAACCUAGGGGAUAAUGUAUCAUCAGGGUAGGCUAAGGUAAACAGGGUUUAUCUAAAUGUCUUUGUAUCAUUUCUAAGUACUGAUAUGGUGAUCACAUCUUGAAUAAGCUACAAGUCCCUAGUUUAUUUUACACCACCUUGAUGUCAUCUCAAGGCUAACUAUAAAAAUGAAUAUGAGACUAAAAACAGACAAAACUGAGAGGUUGAUUCUUUUGACUCCAGAUUGAUGUAAUAUCUCUCCAAGAAAACGACGGGGCUCAAAAGCUCACUAGAUUAAGUCUCCACACUUAUUCCUCAAGUUUCUCAAGGUGUAGUUGUAUUUCCACAUGUAAUUUGUAAUAAAUGCAAGUGAAUGCCAUGCUUAUGCUCAUACAAAUGUAGUAUGAGACUCAACUACUUGGUGAAGCAAUAAAUGUCCUUAAACUUGAAAAAGAUAGAAUUCAACCAUUAUAUUCAUCAUUGAUGGUGUACUUAUCCUAUUUUUUGAAAAAGUCUUUGUAACAAAGAUUUUUUUAGGUUUUUUUCAAAAUUAUUGAAUUUUUACGCAAGUAUGGAUAAUGAAGUUUGAAAAUCAUUUGCAAAAAGGAUUGUAAUACUUCCCCACCCCCAAACAAAAAUAUUGCCUUGUCCUCAAGGUUCAUACUAUGCAUAGGAGAGAGUAAGAAAGAUAUUCCCAUGAAUGUACUAAAAAUUCAAACCGCUUUAUAAAUUCCUGCCAAAUAAAAUUAUCUCCACAUACAUAGAGAUUACAAGGAAUUCCAUACUAAGACACAACUGAAAUAAAAUGUACUGAAAUAAAAGAUUGACUCAACAGAAAGUAAAAUCCUACUUUAUACUCUUGGUUUCAAACUUGUCCUACUGGGAAACCAUCCAACCUAUCGCGCCAAUCAGUUAAUGCCUCUUUAAUCACAUUCCAAGACCCCUCACCUUCAUCCAUAAAAUUAUUGUUUCUAUGCAAAGCAGGAAACUCUACAUACUCAGUGUUAGGCACCCAAGUGAAUAGGCGACUUCUCCUAAUAAAACAAUGAGUUGGAUCUAUAGGUAUAAGGUGAGUCCAAUCAUUGAACCUGUUUUUUCACUCAGGAUAGCUUUCAAGAAUAAUCUUACAGAUAUCAGUAGGGAAAACGAGCUUAUCCUCACCGAAUACGAACACAUUCCUAAUGCCAUCUAAAAUCCAAGUGGAUAAGUCAAUAUCAUAAAAAUUUGUAACAAUACCAACUACGGCAUGCAUAGUACUAUCAUUGACAUAAUCCAUCACCCAGCAAAUUACGCAAAACCCAUAAAGCAGCAGUAGCUACAUUAGCAGGAAGACAAGUGGUAGGUGCAAUACUAGGGUAUCCUUCGGGGUGAAAAGAGAAGAAACACGGGCCAAAGUGAUUAAGGUAGUUGUCUAUGAUGUCUACACGGUUAUCUCGAACAUAAUUGUCAUAGGGCACGACCGGUUGAAAAACAAAAAGAUUACCCAUGGCAAUAGAGACGACAAUAACAUUAAAAACCACCGGGGAACUAUGCAUAUGAACUUGGAAACCAUCAAAGGGAAGAGGGUCGCCAAAGGGUAACAAAAGGUAAAAGUCUCUUACCAUAGAAGGGGAAUACACAGCCGUAGAAUCAUAAAGAAAACCUUCCCAACCUUUGUCAAAAAUCCCAUUACGAAAACAAACUCCAAAAACCAGUGCGAAAACCCAGAAGAAAUAACACAAAACGAGCUCAGAAAACUGCUGCCAGAUCUAAACUCGACUCGAGUUUGGUUAAGCCUAUAAGGAACUCGACUCCAGUUCGGGUAGGUUUCAGAAAAUAAAAAAUUGGAAAGUGUUUCUGAAUUUUGAGUGACGGUCCUCCAACCUUGGUUUGGUAUAUAUAGGCCAAAAAUAAAGAGUUUGAGCCCUAAUAGGACACCAAAGAUUGCCUAAAACCUUAGGGUUUCCAAAACUCAAACCCUAAUCUCUUUUCUUUUAAAAUAUUUGGACUUAGGUCCCUAGGACCAGAAAUUUUUUAAAACACAUCCACAAGUCCAGAUUUUUGCAAUGAAGCCCAAGAAUGGCUAAAAAUUUUCAGAAAAGGACAAAAGUUUCCAAAAAUUAAGAACUCAACCAUUUUCAUUAAUUUUUGGAAAUAAAGUACAAUGAUUGAAAUUAUAAUACAAGAGUGCAAGAACUAAAAUAGAACAAAAUACAUAAGAAAAAUUACAAUAGCUAAUAAACAGAAAUUUUCAACCCGGUCGUCGACGAGAUUGCCCCUGGCCUUCGUCAACGCGACGCUGCAAGUCCAGGACCGCGUUCAAAAUCUAGCCCAUACCCCUCCAGAGAAGCUGGAACCGUUCAUCAUUGGUAUGGAGCUGGUGAAACGCCCGCUAUUCGUCAGGCAUGUACUGAAUGGGUACCUCCUCUUAAGAUCCACAACAACUGUGUACAGGCAGACAGUCCCGGGUUGGAGACCUCGAGCCGGACGACCGACUCCAGAGAAAGAGCAGGAAGAAGAGGCGCCUCCCAGUAGCGCAAGGUACUCAUCACCAGUCUUGGUAAGGGCGCAGAAGUGGCUCGAGCACCGGUGAUGGUAGUGAAAAGACGGCGGACCAUGCAGUAGCCGUGGAGGUCCUCCUGAAGCUGCCGGAGGAUAUGAAUCCCCUCCAAGAACAACUACUCGUCCUCAUCGUCCCAAGGACAUUGGUGGUCAGCCAGUGUGCCACCAUGCCUUGGUUGACUCAGAGCCAACCGAUCGAAAUAUGACUGCUAUACCGGUGAACCGCCCGGUCAUCGACGAGGACAGCCUCGAUGAUGUAGCGUAACCUCCUGCUGUAGAGGAGCCUCGUCAAGAUCGAGCAUCGUGACUAAGGAGACAGUCUCCGGCGUGAGCUAGUAGCGAUGUGCCGGAUCCCAGUUGAUGAAAACGCCGUCAUCGGUCAACUCCAUUGAAUCGUAAAAUCGAAAAGAUAGUUUAUUAGCCAAAUAGCCACUAAACCCGGCAACAAAUAAGAAUCACUAAAGCACUAUCGGGGUUAGAAGAUAUACAGGGCCGCCUCCUAGGAGCGCUAAUUUAACGUCUUCAGCCACAGGGGUACAACCAGGAUUCACUCCCUAGAUAAACGUUACUCUAAACAAAGAUAAAGAAGAGAUAAAACUCUAGAGUGGAAUGAGCGAGAUCCUGAUGUUUAAUAUACAACAAAGAGUCUUUUAAAGUCAGAUACUCGAGACUUAAAAGAAGAUGGAAAAUGACUUCUUCACCCCCAAACAGAGCGGGAAACAGGUGUGUUUGGGGAUGACACUCAUGAGAAAAACGUGUACUGGAUCAAUUAUACUCAGGCAGUAAGAGUUUGUGGACUAUGGCCCGGCACUUUCAACCACACCUCUCAAAAAGAGACAAGAGAAUAAAGUAAGAAAGGGUCCGGAUACCAGCAGGUCAAGGGUCAGUCUAAAUAGGUAGGGUCCUCUAGGAGAGUUUCUUCAACUUCAGGGGACCUUAAUUCAUGGAAAUGCUUAAGACGUUGACCAUUGACUUGAAAUUCAGAAUUGUCUGCAGGGUUUAAACAAGUAAUAGCACCAUAAGGAGUUACUGCGGACACAACAAAGGGACCCGACCAACGAGACUGUAGUUUACCAGGAAAUAAAUGCAAACUAGAGUUAUACAGUAAAACUUUGUCCCCAAUUUGAAAAUCUCUACGUAAGAUCUGACGAUCAUGUAGUUUUUUCAUACUAGCUUUAUAGGACUUGGAAAGAUCAUAAGCUUCAUUCCGAAGUUCCUCAAGCUCAGAAAGAUGGAGUUUUCUCUUCUUACCUAACUGGUCGAGAUUAAAAUUGAGCUUUGUCAUUGCCUAGAAGGCUCGGUGCUCAAGCUCUACAGGUAGGUGCAAGGAAUUUCCAAAUACAAGACGAAAGGGAGACAUGCCUAUGGGAGUUUUAAAAGCAGUACGAUAUGCCCAUAAUGCAUCACUGACUCUACGAGACCAAUCAACCUUUUCAGGGUCAAUUGUUUUUUGCAAAAUGUUUUUAAUCUCUCUAUUUGAAACCUCGGCUUGGCCAUUGGUUUGCGGAUUGUAUGCAAAGGGCCAUUUUGUGAGUAACUCCGUACUUUUGGACAAGUUUUUGAAAAGCGUUAUUGCAGAAAAUGGCUCCCCCCAUCACUAAUGAUCGCACGGGGAGCGCCUAAUCAGGCAAAUAUGUACUCUUUUAGAAAAUUUACUACAGUUUCUUGGUAGUUGUGCUUUGUCGGAAUGGUCUCGAUACAUUUAGAAAAUAUAGUCUACUAUGACCAGAAUGUACAAAAAACCAUGACAACCAGGGAAAGGGCCCAUGAAAUCAAUGCCCCAUACAUCAAACACUUCUACAAGAAGAAUUGGCUGUAAGGGCAUCAUGUGUCGCCUAGUGAUUUUCCCUAGUUGUUAACAACGAGAGGACACAAUACAGUGCAUGUGAGCGUCCUUAAAAAGAGUUGGCCAAUAAAAACCACACUGCAAUACUUUAGCAGCUGUUUUCUUGGCACUAAAAUGUCCACCAUAAGCAUGGUUAUGGCAGAACUUAAGGAUGUUUUGUUGCUCCCAGUUGGGAAUACAACGACGAAUGAUCUGGUCAGGACAGUACUUAAAAAGGUAAGGGUCAUGCCAGGAAUAAUGCUUGGCAUUAGCAAGGAAUUUGGAUCUAUCUUUCUUGUUCCAAUUACUUGGAAACUUGUUGCUAGCCAAAUAAUUAACUAUAUCUGCGAACCAUGAAGCAUUCGAUAUUACAAAAAGAAGCUCAUCAAACUCUUGAAGCAACAAAAAACAACGAAUAAGGCGCUGUUUAGUUUCCUUCUUUGAGAGAAGAAAUCUAAUAGCAACAUAAUCGGUGAAGAUGACAGUACGGGUACCUAAAAGGUAGGAACGAAACUUAUCAAGAGCAUAUACUAUGGCUAAUAAUUCUUUCUCCGUCGUGGUAUAAUUACGUUGAGCAUCAUUGAGAGUCUUGCUACAUAAUAAAUGACAUGGGGUUUACCAUCUAGACGUUGACCUAAAACAGCCCCAACAGCAAAGUCUGAUGCAUUGCACAUCAGCUCAAAGGGUUUACUCCAAUCAGGCGGCCUAAUGAUGGGUGCAGUCGUGAGGGCGGUGUUAAGAUUAUCAAAAGCGCUCUUGCAUUCUUUUGUGAAAUCAAAAGGUGCAUCCUUAAGCAAUAAAUUGGUUAAGGGGCGAGUUGUCUUAGAAAAAUCUUGGAUAAAGUGUCGAUAGAAUCCUGCAUGGCCCAGAAAGGCUCGAAUAUCCCUAAUAGACUUAGGAAUAGGCAAGCAUGAAACAAGAUCUACUUUAGCUUUAUCAACCUGGAUACCCUCAAAAGAGACGACAUGACCCAGAACUAUUCCCUUUCUAACCAUUAAAUGACACGUUACCCAGUUAAGUACCAAAUUUUUCUCAAUGCAAUGUUUAAAAACCAAGGAAAGAUGACUAAGACACUCUUCAAAAGAUGAACCAUAUAUGGAGAAGUCAUCCAUAAAAACCUCCAUAAAUCGUUCUACCAUAUCACUAAAGAUGUGUAACAUACACGUCUGAAAAGUAGCAGGUGCAUUACACAAACCGAAAGGCAUACGGGCAUAAGCGAAAGUGCCAAAAGCACAAGUAAAUUUUGUCUUCUCUUGAUCUUCAGGGGUGAUAGGAAUUUGGUUAUAACUAGAGUAACCAUCUAAGAAACAAUAGAAGAAAUGACCAGCCAGGCGUUCCAACAUCUGGGCUAUAAAGGGAAGAGGAAAGUGGUCUUUCUGGGUGACUGUAUUAAGCUUCCUAUAGUCGAUACAAACACGUCACUUGGUUGGAACUCUCGUGGCGACUUGUUCGUUCUUUCAUCGCAGGGUUGAGACGUCUCUGAGGUUCACGAGAAGUUUUGGCAUCGUCCUCAAGAUGAAUACAAUGAGAAUAGACAGAAGGGCUAAUGCCUUUAAUGUCAUGGAUAGACCAGGCAAUAGCAGAACGAUGCUCUAGGAUAACUUCUAAAAGCUUACUCUCCUGUUCGGUAGUAAGAGAUGAAGAGAUAAUAACAGGAUGACUACCGUCUGAAUCAAAAUGAGCAUAUUUCAGCUCAGGAGGAAGAGGACUCAAAGUAACAGGAGGUGGAGUGAUGGUUUCAAUUUUGGGUCUCAGAAUCUAUGCUGCAAACCGAAUCAAUGGCCUCAGGGUUUUUAGGUUCAAAGAUAGGCACAGUAUCAAUGUCAAAGUCUACAUUAUGCAUCGGAAGGCAGUGAACAACCGGAUAUUCAGGGUAAUAACUAUGCACCAUCUCAUAAGGUAAUAAUUCUUGAAGGCACACAUCUUCAAAUAAGGAAAGAUCAAGGGGUUGUUGGCUAACGUUAAAUAUAUUAACUUCAACAAUCAUAGAGCCAAAAGUGAGAACUAUAGAACCGUUCUGGCAGUUUAUGAGAGCGUUAGAGGUGGCCAAGAAUGGACGGCCAAGGAUGAUGGGUACCGAGUCAUCGGCAGGGUAGUAAAAGUCAGACACUUUAACUAAUAGGUCCUCAAGUAUACCUCUAGGUACUUUCAAUGAUCUGUCGGCCAGUUGUAAUUACAUUUUCGUGGGUUUUAUGUUUGUUAGAUUCAGGCUGAGGUACAAGAAGUAAGGCAAAAGAUUAAUACUCGCUCCUAGGUCUAGCAAAGCUUUGCCCAUGAACUUGUCAUGAAGCUUGCAGGGUAUGGCCGGUUUUCCAAGGUCCUUAUAUUUUACCACGCCGUUAUAUUGGACAAGUGCAGCGAAUUUUUCCGCCACAAACGGGUUUUUAGGCACAUUCGUUUUUCUCUUGGUGGUGCAAAAGUCUUUCAAAACCCUAGCAUAGGAAGGUAUUUCUCUAAUAACCGUGAGGAAGGGUAUUUAUCUAAUACCCGGUACUUCCACUACUUGGACUUCCUUUAGAGACCUUGAGAGUCUCUGGGGAUAAGGUACAGGCGGGUUGUAAGUUCGUGGAGGGUCCACAAUCUCACGGGCAAUCUUCUUCGGCUUAAAGGUGGUCGCCACAUUAGCUGGAGCUUUAGGUGGGGUAACAGGUGCAGAGGUAACCGGGGUCACAAUGUUGCUACUCGGUGUAUAAUUAAUUUGAUUAUCAACCUGUUUUCCUGACCUAAGGGUGGAAACCGAUUUAACUUCAGCAAGUGGUACAGACAGAUUUGAAGUAUUUGUCACCAAGGCAACUUCCUUGCCUUUGGGGUUUGGGAUGGACUGUCCUGGAAAUCUACCCUUUCCAGCAAGUUUUUGUUCAAUCCUCUGGAUGGCUUGGGCAUUUGAUUCAAUGGACGCCUGGGUAUGUUCAAUGAAAUGGGCAAGCACAUCCUCAAGGGAGGUCUUAGGUGGGGCAGAUUGAUUAGUUGGCAUAUGGUCCCUGGAACCACUCAUGUGAUGAGCAUUGUUCGAGUAAGGGGGGACCGUUGCCCAUAAGAGUUAUUAAAACUAGGUGGAGCCGCAUGAUGAUUAUUAGAAGAAGAUAGAUUGGAGCGGUCCAUGUAUGGGUACGUGGCAUUACCCUUAGUAAAGUUGGUUCUCCCGGCGUAGUUAAACGCACAGGCUUCCUUAGUUUCUGGUGAAUUAUAAAGGAGAGGGAAAAAUUCGGCAGUAUGGGUCUGGUCAUGACAAGCAUCAAAUUGGAGAGUGGAGGUACCCAUAACAGGUGAUAGGGGCUUUAAAGACACAGCAAGUGCUUCUACCUGUUUUACUAAACCAUGAAGUAAAAUUUUAAGCUCAGAGUCAGGUUUGACUUCAUAAAUACCUCCAUGUUGAUCUAUGUUGAUUAAAGACUAUUGUUAGAGUAUAGGGAGACCUAGCUAUAAUGGUUGUAUUAGAUUAAUUAGAGAUAUGUGAUGGAAUAGCUGGGAGAUGACUAUCAUAUAUUUAGAAUAAAUCUCUUUUAUUGGACCCCUUUUGUAAUCAAAUUAAAUAGCUGGGAGGUGACGAUUUGAUUAUGAAUUAAUAUGUUGAGUUAAUUGAAUUGAAUAGAUGAGAGGUGAUGAUUUAAUUAAUGAGAUAUAUUCAAUAGCACAUAUAAAGAAUCCCAUUUUAAUUGAAUGGAAUAGCUGAGAGGUGACUAAUUAAUUGUUAUAGAUUGAACAUGAAAGGAUAACAUUUUAUGUUUGCAUGAUUUAGUUUGUGGAUACCAUAAGAUCUUCUUUAUAUCUCUAUCCAUCUUCUUAAGUUAGUUUAAUUAUUAGUUUAUUUGUUUAUUGCCUGUAGGAAGUAGAAUCAAUUUCUCUCUUAUUUAUGAUUCACUUGGUUUUCUUUAACCAUUGUUUUCUAUUGUGUUUGAGCUAAGAUCUUCACAUUUAAGGUGGGUACGACCCUUGCUUGUUACUUGUCUACAUUGAUAACCAAUAUUUACAGGCACAAGAAGGAACUUCAUUAUAAAUCUAUCUUUUGAUUAGAGGUUACACAAAUAGCUGCUAUCAAAAUGGCGUCGUUGCCGCUCUAAGGAACGGAGUUCAUUCAAACACAAGCGAGAAUAGUAGUUCCGGGACAUCAUCCCACUUCUAUUCCUCCCACUCUUCUAAUUCUAUUUUUUUUAGUAAUUGUUUUUAAGUGUCUUGGUACUUAGUCCUCUUACUAAUCUUACAGCAAAGACGAAUUGAAAAAAGCUCAAGGAAUGAAGCCAAUAUCUCAAUUUCAAAAAGAUCGCGCACACAAGAAUUUCCCAGAAAAGUUAUUGGUUGAUAUUGGUCUCGAUCUCGAGUCGAGUUCUUUAUAGCCUUAACUAAUCUCGAGUUGAGUUCCCAACGGGAAAAAGACACGUGUUUGUGGGACCUACAGAAGACAUUUCAGAACACCUUUUUGAUUAAUUUUUUUCUGUUGAGUGAUUGUGAGGCUGAACUAAGUACUUUAUUUUUACAGUAUAUUUAGAGACUUGUAAGAUAUUUAAUUUUUCGAUCUACGAGGGGUCGCGGCUGUAAUAUUUUUAAACUAGGUGUUGUUAGGAUUUAUUAUUUGUGUGUUUGUGGCGGAUAGUAGAGCAAGGUUGUGGAGCUAGCCUUGAGUCUACUAAGGAACGACUCCUAAGGACGAUUGAAACCCAAGGAUCGGUUGCCCCUUAGUCGACUUCAACUCGUCUUCUCCCCACUUUUGUGCGCUUGUGUUGGCAUUUUUUAUUUUCUAGCACAAAGUGGGAGGUAAGCGUCAUAACCCUCCUUGAAUCCCCUACAAGAGGAGUUUCUGUAAUGAUUAGCCUGACCUUGAAUGUUGCUUGAUUUUAAUUCAGUUUUUCCUUUUUGCUAAACCGGGAUUGACGCUGGACCUGGCCUAAGAAAAGUGAAACUUAAUACCAAUUGCUUGCAAUAUCCUACGCUUUAAAAUUGAAUCAACUAAAACCAUGCUAUCACAAUGUUCAUUUAAGACCUUGAGCAGAUAUUUCAACUAGUACCGCGUGAACCCUUUUUUGAUUCGAGCACAAGCUAAGAAUUGGGUGUGGAACCCCUACAGAUUUUGUUUGUGGAAUCAUUGUGGUUUUUAAUUAAGGAACGUCGCUUAUGCACGGAAAACCUCCGACACUGGUUAUUCGCUACUUGACUCUCAAAAUAUAGGGAGAAUUCACACAAAAUUGAGUCAGUUUUUGAGCCCCUUGUUAGAUGUUUUUGAAUGGUUAAGACUUCUAUGGCAUAUGUAAUGUGCAUGUUGCAUGCAUCUUAGAUCCGAUAAAAUAUUGUCCAAUCCUAUUCAAGUCUACACAAAGAGCACAAUCAUGGGCCACACUCCUUCUGAGGAAGAGUUCAACGACUCAACCUCCAUACCUUCUUCUGAGAACGAGUUCAACGACUCAACCUCACUUACUGAAGUAAAUCCUGCACCUAUGGCUCACGAAGCUACCCUAAGGGAUUACUUUUCACCUUUUGCCACUGGGCCACCUACCUGCAUAGUCUUGCCCGAGACAACUGCAGAUAGCUAUGGCAUCCGCCCUCAGAUUGUGGGCAUGUUGCCUAAGUUCCAUGGACUUCCACGGGAAGAUCCAUAUCAACACCUGAAUAAGUUUCUGACCGUGCUUAAUACUUUCAAGGAGAAACAUUUGUCUGAAGAGGAAGUUAGGUUUAGAUUGUUCCCUUUUUCUCUAGAGGAUCGUGCAUCUCACUGGUUACAUGGCCUUCCUCCCAAUUCUAUUGACACCUGGGCUCAACUAAGCAAAAGGUUUUUGACCAAAUUUUUUCCAAUUACCAGAACCAUUAUAUUGUUGAUCCCAUCAGAAAUUUCCGGCAGAAAGAGGGUGAGGUUUUCUUUGAUGCAUGGGAGAGGUAUCAAGACCUAUUUCUUCGGUGUCCACACCACAGAGUUGAUGACACAGAAAAAAGUCAGGAUCAUGUAUAGUGGCCUCAAUUAUACAACUAGAAACAUGGUCGAAGGCAUGAGCGGUGGAGGCUUUCUUGAUCUAUCCACUACCAAGGCUUUUGCAUUCUUUGAAAAACUAGCUACUAAUAGCCAACAAUGGUAUUUACCUGAACAAACCCCAAGAAACACUACCCCGAACUCAUAUGAUAAACCUAGAGGCAUGUAUGAGGUCAAACCCGACCCCGGGCUUAAACCAUUACUUCAUGGUUUAGUAAAAAAGGUAGAAGCACUUGAGGUGUCCUUAAAACCCACGUCACCUGUCAUGAGUGCCUCCACUCUCCAAUGUGAUGUUUGUCAAGACCCAUCCCAUAUUGUCGAAGUUUGCCCUUUCCUUUACACUUCACCUGAAACUGAGGAUGCUCGUGCGUUCAACUACAUCGGGCUAACAAACUUCACAAGGGGCAAUGCCACGUACCCAUACAUGGACCGUUCAAUAAUAAUAAUAAUUAUACAGCUCCACCUGGUUUUAAUAACUCUUAUGGGCAACGUAGCAAUGCGACCUAUGCUGGUUAUAAUGAUAAUCGGAACAGGGUGUCGGUUCCCCCUUAUUCGAACAAUGUUCGUCACAUGAGGAUGUUCUUGCCCGUUUCAUGCAACAAACGCAAGUGUCCCUUGAAAUGAACGUCCAAGCCAUUCAACAGAUAGAAUAAAAACUUGAUGAAAAUGGCAAAUUUCUGGGACAAGCUAUCCUGAAUCCCAAGGGCAAAGAAAUUGCCUUGGUGAUAGAAACUCCGUCUACAUCACCACUGAUUGCAGGUUGAUAAUCACCCCAGUUAGAUUCAGGCAUGAUACACUUUUUAGUUGUUGACCAAUAAGUGCUCUCCACAUUUCACACUUAUUGGUCAAGAACUUGAAUCUUGAUUAAUUAUACACCAAGUCAUAACUUUGUGACCCCGGUUACCACAACACUUGUUGGGCCACCUAAAAGUCCGGCUAAUAAGACUACCACCUCUAACCCAAGGAAGCAUACCCGUGAGAUUGUGGAUUCUCCAUAGACUUAUAAUCCGCCCAUGCCUUACCACCAAAGACUCACAAGGUCUCUUAAGGAAGGCCAAGCAGAGGAGGUACUUGAUGUGUUCAAGCAUAUAAAUAUUAUUAUACCUUUCCUCACGGCUAUUAAAAGAUACAUUCUUAUGCCAAGGGUUUAAAGGACUUGUGCACCACGAAGAGAAAAACAAAUGUGCCCAAAAAGCGCGGUUGUGGCGGAAGAAUUCUCUGCACUUGUCCAACAUAACUGCGUGGUCAAAUAUAAGGACCCUGGAAAACCUACCUUACCGUGCAAGCUUGGUGAGAAGUUCAUGGGUAAAGCUUUGUUAGACCUAUGAGCGAGUGUCAAUCUCUUGCCUUACUCCUUAUACACUAGUUUGGCUCUAACAAACAUGAAACCCACGAGCAUGUCUUUACAACUGGCCGACAGAUCAUUGAAAGUACCUAGAGGAGUAGUUGAGGAUCUCUUAGUCAAAGUGUCUGACUUUUACUAUCCUGUUGAUUUUAUGGUGUUGGACACUGAACCUACUGCCGAUGACUCGGUUCCCAUUAUCCUUGGUCGUCCAUUUUUGUCCACCUCUAAUGCCCUCAUCAACUGCCAAAAUGGUUCUAUGGUUCUCACUUUUGGAUCUAUGACCGUUGAAGUUAAUAUCUUUAAUAUUGGCCAUCAACCCCCUGAUCUUUCUUUAUCUAAAGAUGUGUGUCAUCUCGAUCCUCUACCCUAUGAGAUGGUACCUAUUUAUUACCCUGAUGAUCCGGUUGUUAAUUGCCCUACCAUGCAUAAUGCUAACUUUGGCAUCAAUCAAUCUAUUAUUCAAACCAACGCUAGUUUUGAUUUUGUGCCUAUCUUUGACCCCAAAGACCCUGAGGCCAUUUAUUCGAUUUGUUGCAUUGAUUCUGAGUUCCAAGUCGAGACCAUCCCUCCAUCUCCUGAUCCUCUUCCUCCCGAGCUGAAAUGUGCCCAAUUUGUUUCGGACGGUAGUCAUCCUGUUAUCAUCUCUUCAUCUCUUACUACCGAACAGAAAAAUCAGCUUUAUUUUCACAUUGGUGACAAAGUUUUACUUUAUAAUCCUCAUUCGCAUUUAUUACAUGUCUCGUUGGUCGGGCCCCUUUGUUGUGUCUGUAGUAACUCCUUAUGGUUGUAUUACAUGCGUUAAUCCUGCAUACGGUUCUGAAUUUCAAGCCAAUGAUCAAUGUCUUAACCAUUUUCAUGAGUUAAGGCCCCCUGAAACUUUCCUAGAGGGUCCUACCUCUUUAGACUGACCCUUGACCUGCUGGUAUCCGGACCCUCUCUUGUUCUUUUUCUCUUGGAAGGUGUGGUUGAAAGUGAUGGGACCGUUAGUCCACAAAAUCUUACUAGUUGAGUAUAAUUGAUCCAGUACACGUUUUUCUUUUGAGAGUGUCACAACCAAACAGACCUGUUUCCCGCUCUCUUUGGGGGUGGGGAAGUCAUUUCCCAUCUUCUUUUAAGUCUCGAGUAUAUGACUUUAAAAGACUCUUUGUUGUAUCUUAGACAUCGGGAUCUCGCGCAUUCCACUCUAGCGUUUUAUCUCUCCUGUAUGUUUGUUUUGAGUAGCGUUUAUCUAGGGAGUGAGUCGGCUUGUAUGUCCUCCUGUCUGGCUAAAGACGUUAAACUUAGCGCUCCUGGGAGGUACCUCUGUGUAUCCUUUAAGCCCGAUCGUGCUUUACUUCUCUGUUUGUUGCCGGGUUUAGUUGUAUUUUGGCCGAUAAACCGCUCGUUCUACCAUCUGUCCUCAGUUCUGUUUGGGGGUGGGCGCGGCCGGCCCACCAACUCUCGUUUUGCCGUUUGGCUGGUUGAUAGUUAUUGUGGUCACAAAAUGUAUUGUUUUAAGAUAGGAUUUUCCUUUAUGUUGAGUCAUAUUUCAACAUAUUUUAUUUUGUUUGGCAGGAAUUUAUAAAAGCAGUCUGAAUUUUUAGUACAUUCAUCGUAAUAUCUUUCUUUCUCUCUUUCUUAUGCUUAGUAUGAUCCUUGAGGACAAGCCAAUAUUUUUGUUUGGGGGUGGGGAAGUAUUACAACUGUGUGGAUCUUAGGUAAAAUACCCGACAGGUGUCAUCAGUGGCUGUAUAAGAAGCUAAACCGGGAACAUCUAAGCAUUAGCCAGCCAGGCCUGCGCUAUCGGGUAGAGCCCAACCCGGUCUCAAGAAAUCCACAUACGCUCUGUGGAUCUUGACCCACCGGAUGGUUCACGAUCAGUGGGUGGAGCCCUGGUUACUGUAUAAGAAGUUAAACCGUGGGCUCCCAUACAUCAACAAGGCCUACCUCAAUCAAGUAAGCCUGGUCCGGCCCAGUAAAGUCCAGCAGCGACAGAGGCUCGUCCAAAGGCUUAUCAUAGAAGCCCAGAGAACCUGGCCAGGGUGUAUGCAAUGCAGAUUGGGCCUCCGGUCCGAGGAGUCAAGCCCAAGCCUUUGUUUUAAGACUUGGUCAUAUCCAAGUCCCAACCAACUGGAUAAGUCCAGCAAAAUUCUAGGCUAACAGAACCCGUUCUUCAAGCCCGCUGGAGAAGAUAAAAGAAGACCCAAAUUGAACCAGAGCCUAUCAGAGGAUCCCAUGUGGCAGUCAUCCUGGUCAAAGGGGAUUCAAACAGAGGGAUAACCGCCCAGCAGCAUGCAAGCUAUCUCUGCGGAAACAUCUUCACAGUUGAACUACCUGAGUUCAUGGAGUCAAAACCGGAGGGGUGGUUGAGCCAGCCUCCUCCGGUCUACUAUAAAUACAGGAGUUCUUAACCUCCUGAACUACGAGUCUUUCACUGAGCAACUUUAUUAGAGUUUAGUGGAAGCAGAGGCUUGAUUCCAAGUUCAUCUUCUUGGAUACGUAGGCAGUCUGAUUCUCAUCAGGUCCAGUCUCAUUUUAUACCCCCAUCCCAUCUCAGUCUGUACAAGGCUUUCUUUGUGACUGUUCGAUUAAUCAAUACACAUUUCGAGUUUGUGGAUCAAAUUUUUGCACCCACACUCUUUGGCACCCACCGUGGGGCUGAAUCUCCCAUCAGUUCCAGAGCCUUAAAAAAAAAAAAAAUCUCAAUUCAGUGAUACCGGAGUCGCUGCAGCAAUGGCUGGAAGUAAGAGAUGCUUAACUCGUUCCAACAAUGAAAUGAGCCAAGUUACUGAAAUUCAGACUGAGAACCUUUCUCCUCUAUCUCCGGUCUUUGAAGCAACAGAACCUGUCAAUCAAGAAUCCGUUCUCGGGAGUGAGGGCCAUGACCAUGGCUCACAACAUUCUGAAAGUGGACAGCCGGAGACAGAAAACUUAGUGGUACAAAUCACUAAUGAUACUGGUAAUCCGAAUACAGUCAACCGGACUCUCAGGAUACCAGCAUCACAAGAUUUUGAACCUUCCAGAGUAGCCGCUGCAAGAAGAGACCAGAGAACUAUUCCGCCAGCCACGGGAGGAGGUUACACCGAACAGCAGAAGGGGAAAGGCCCAGCGGCCGAAUCCCCAACAACAAUCAUCAAGCGGCUAACCAAGGAGAACGCAGAACUAAGAAGAAAGAAGAUAACCAGGGCCGGAGAUGAUCGAUCUGGCUGUUUCCAACAAGGCCAGCCGGGAUGAACGAAUCAUGAAGUUUACUAUCUCAAGGUUGGCUGUGUCACCCCUGGCAGAAGAGGUCAGGAACCAUAUAGUCCCGACCAGCUUCACGCAGCCGCCCUUCGAACAGUAUGACGAGACAAACGGCUGCCCAAUUCAGCACGUCAUGAACUACAAGAGUACCAUUGCUAUAUGGGACCAUGAUGACAAGUUACUCGGAAAAUAUUUGUUGCUUCACUCAAAGGUGAAACACAGACGUGGUAUCACAACCUGCCGCCCGUAUCCAUCCGCACAGUCCUACAACUGGCUGAGUUGUUCGAGGAAAAUUACCGUUUCAACGUGAAGACAAAGAAGAGAGUUGAAGUCUUGUUCUCCCUACAGAUGGACCGGAGCGAGACACUCAGGAACUUCGCCCAAAGGUUCCGAACCUUACUAUCAGAAGUACAAGACGUAUCUGAUGGCGUCGUUAUUCAAGCUUUCAAGUAUGCCUUGAACAACAGCCAUGAAGAGUUGUACCGGUCGCUAGCAAGGAAGCCUCCAACCUUUGUUCAUCUUUGCUCGAGAAAGUGGAAAGGUAUGCUCAGGAAGAGGACGACCUGAAAGCUAGAAUAGACUUGCCAAAAGCUAAAAAAAAUGAAGAAGCUUCACAGCCCGGCAUCGAGACUAGCACACAGAGCGAGCCAAGUCUUCCCUCUCAGGGUCAGAUACAGGACCCACCAGAAUCACAACUUGAAGACUGGAAUCCUUGCCUCACCAGAGUCCUGAUAGAAGUAAUGCCACCUUCAACGGAGCCGGACGAAUCGGACCCGUUAGAACCACCGCUUUCACAUGUUCACAUCGAUUUGGAGCUCCCACCGGAGGAACCAAUCAAAGAUAUUCCAGACAACCUGAAUUCUGAAAUAGACAGAAUUGAUGCCGAACUACAGUCUAGCAACGGUCAUGACUUGAGGAGGCCAUACAUUAACAUCCUCAUCCACCAUCAACUUCCCUAAGAUUCAAAGCUAUCAACCAAAGUUAGGAGGGAUGCGUGGAAGUUCACUGUCAUCUUACACCGGGAGUCACACAGGUUAUACAUGAAAAGCUACGUCUCCGGGGUCUUGUUCAAAUGCCUCACUCCAGAGAAAGGCCUGAUCAUACUAAAGAAAAUCCAUGCGGGGAUCUACGGCAACCAUUCCGGGAGCAGAAACCUGGCACAGAAGACAAUGAUCCAAGGAUAGUGGUGGCCGCACAUGAUGACAGACGCCAAGAAGUUCACCCAGACAUGCCUCCCUUGUCAGAAGCAUGCCCCAGUCGGUCAUGCCCCGGCGAAUGAACUGCACCCCAUCCUAAGUGCAUGGCCUUUCGCCAAGUGGGGACUAGAUAUUGUGGGACCUCUCCCAAAAGCUCCACACUCAGUCAGGUUCCUACUUGUCACUAUAGAUUAUUUCACCAAAUUGGUUGAAGUCGUAGCAUUGGUACAAGAAUGUGCCUCUGAUGUCAGAAGAUUCCCGUGGAAAGAUAUAAUCUGCAAGUUUGGAAUCCCCCAGGAGCUGGUGUCAGAUAAUGGAAAAUAGUUCAACUGCGAUAAUAUAUGGCUAUCCUGCAAGUCUUUGGGGAUCAAACACAACUUCUCAGCCCCAUACUAUCCCUAGGGGAAUGGGCAAGCAGAAGCAUCUAACCGGGUGAUCAUGGAUACACUCAAGAAGCGAUUGGAUAAAGCAAAAGGUAACUGGGUAAUGUAACUCCCGGGGGUCUUAUGGGCAUACCAGACCACUCCAAGAAGGUCCACUGGUAUGACACCCUUUCAACUUACCUUGGGAGCAAAAGCGAUAAUGCCAACAGAACUGCUAGCUCCGACAACUCGCACUGAUGCAGUCUGUUUCAACCGGAUUUCACACCAAUGUGAUGUAAGAUCAAGAAGAAACCUCUAAUGUUAAGAUCUAAUGUAUUGGAGAAGAUGAAGGAAUAGAGUUUUGGUGAUUGAUAAUAGCUACACUAAUUUGUUUCUUAGUUGCUUACGUAUCCAUAAGAGAGAUGAAUGAAGCCUUUUAUAAAGUAGUUCAAAUGUAGAGUUUGAUUGGGAUUAGGAUGUGAUCCAUUGAUCCCUAAUGUAGUGUAGUGUUGUAGUCCCAUGUAUUUGGACCAUAUAACGACAAGAUAAUAUACCUCAUGUCUUAUUAGGAACAUGAGUUGUAAAGAUAUUGAAAUUGUUAUUGGAUUAGGAGUUCUAGAGAUAUUGGAGUUGUAGUUGGAUUAGGUUAAGGAAAUCUCUACAAAGAUGUAGAAUUACCAUAUUAACCUUAUUGAAUAUAAUGGACUUAAAUAGAUAAAGACCAUGAUUGAUAUUGAUAGAGCCCAUGAUUGAUAUUGAAUGUAGUAACGGGUCUAAGCCUUAUUACUACUUGAAUUGGGCUUAGGCCCUUAUUGAUAAAGUCUUGGGCUUUGACUUGUAAUUGACUUGGGCUUGAGCCCGUUAAGGGGGGUCAACACAUCGCCCCCUCUUUAGCCGAUGGGUGAAACCCGUUGGGUAAAGAACUAAAAACGAACGCAAUCGGAGUAAAGAAACAGGCGGUAGGAAAUUAUAGGAAAAUAAAUUGAACAUGAACUGAGUAAAGAAACAUACGGUAGAAAUUUAUAGAAAAAUAAAUUGAACUCAACUGAGCAAAAAAACAGGGGAUAGAAAUUUAUAGAAAAAUAAAUUAAACACAACUGAGCGAAGAAACAGGCGAUAGAAAUUUAUAGAAAAAUAAAUUAAACUCAACUGAGCGAAGAAACAGGGGAUAGAAAUUUAUAGAAAAAUAAAUUGAGCGACAUAAAUUAGAACGAGAAUUGGGUUCAACCAAAAAUCCGAGCAGAAAUAAAUAAAAUUUAAGUGACGAAAAUCCGGCCGAAAAGGAAAUGGGCUUGAAAAACAAGAGAUAGUGAAGUGUAGGGAAUUGAAAAUAUAUCAUUUCGGAAAUUCGGAAACGAAGGUGGAGAGGGACGGUGGCUUUGAAAUUGGACGUGAGUUCCAAGAAUUGAAUGUACAUUGGCAAUGGGAAAGGCGAGGCGCAAUCGAGACGAACAUAAGUCCCGAGACAAGUCCCAAUCCCGAGAUACAUCCUAAUCCAAUUGUGGGGUCCACUGCUGCUGGUGGAGGAACAAGACCCGAGACACCACAACUGUACAACAUCCCGACCAGGUCUACUGUUGUUGAGCAAGGACCCGACAAUCUGCCAGCACAACCUGGCAAGCGACUAGGUGCAGCUGGUGUCAUGGAUGAGGAGGUUGUUGCUGGGGGAGGGAAUAGGCUGAGCGAGUAGGGGAGAGGCUGGUAGGCAGGAGGGGAGAGUUAGCUGCUGCUGCUGCUGGGGAGUUGGCUUAGGGGGUAGCCGCUGGAGGAGGGAAGAGUUAGCUGUUGGGGAGUUAGUUGUUGGAGAGGAGGAAAUAGCCUUACGGCAGGCAGGGGGCUGGGGGGGUAGCCAUUGGAGAAAGAGUAGGCAAGAGGCUGGAGGAGCACACAGCCGCAGGAGAGGAGACAUGCUAAGUGUUGGAGGAGUACACAGCUGCUGAGUGAGGUGAUAGCCUAGAGUGUACCGGAAACUCCAGCAGCAAUGGACAUGACAAACAUGUGUCCAGCAGCUAUGGACAUGACAAUUCCAUAUUUAGCCAAAUUUUCCAAAAUCUCCAGCGGCUAUGCAUCCUACAAAAGAACUAUCAGAUCUUUGGAGUUGUUUUCCCGCCAGAAUACGUAUCUCCAGAAGAUGUGCCAUAUACCAUUGGAAAUCUAAGGUAGUCCUCUGUCCAUACCAGAAAACAGAUCGACAUUCUGAUCUCUGAGAAGAAAGUUAUGGCCAAUCCAAUCACUGUCCAAAUGGAGAUACCGAAAAAAUGGAACAACAAUUAUCUCUUGGCAAGUCGGACGAGAAGAUAGCUGGGGGCAUGGCUGUUGGCCAAGAGGAUGGCCUAGAGGGAGACAAGGUUGAAAAGAGUUGCGUAGGGUGUAUGAGUAUAAGAUGAUAAAAUGGUAAGCGAUUUGAUUGCAAGCGUAUGUAGACUUUAACACGGGUGUGAUAUAUGUAAAUCAUGUCUUGAUAUAGACAUAAUUAUUGGAGAUCAUGAUACAAAUUACUAGGUAAAGGUACUAUUGUAGUUGGCCAAGAUAAAGGAUUUCCUAUUUCCUAAAAUUCUUAUCCUUGUGUAACGAGGAUAACUCUUACAAAGACUUUCCUUUUCCUUGUCCCACAAGGAAAAGGAAACUAAGUUCCUAAAAGAAGGAUACACAUGUAUCAUGGCUCCCCCCUUUAAGAGCUUAAACUCCCGUUUAAGUUAGAAACGGAGAUUAGGGAACUCGAGAGCUCCCUGGUCUUUGCAGCUGAAGCAUUUAGCUUUGCUUGGAACUUGACAAGCACGCCCAAUGCGAAACAUUAAUCGUCUCCCACUUCGUGUAUUAGCCACCUUGCCCUCCAAUAUGCAAUCUUCCUUGAAUGUCUCCUCUCGAUCAACCCUAGGACAUGUCAUCAAGUCAAACUUCCCACAAGCAUUUACUAACCUUUUAUCCUGUGUUAUCGUUACCAAGUCAAUUCCUUUUGGAGGUGGAAUUGCUCGAAUAACAAACUGUUCUCCACCUUUAGUGAAUGUAUACUUCUGAGCCCUCUUAUCAAAAAGAGCAUACCUAUCCCACAAGUAGGGAUUUCCUAGAACAACCUGACAAACCUCCAAUGGAACAACGUCACAUGUCACCCAAUCAAUAUAAGACUCAUGAAGAACAAAUUUGAAUGUGCAUUGAUGUUUCACACUCGAGCCGCCAUCCUUCCGAAUCCAUCCCAAUGGAUAAGGCUUAGGAUGCUUCACGGUUUUAAAACCAAGCUUAUGAACCAAAGCUUCUAAAAUCAGAUUUUUCUGACUUCCUAGAUCUACAAUAGCGUCCACUAAACUGGUCUUCACCUGUAACUUAACACAAAAGAGUUGCUCUAUGGGGUCAUCUUCUUCAACUUGUAUAUGAUUACAUGUCAUCAUGUUGAGCUUGAGGUUCGGCUCUGUCAUCCCUGGUACUUCCUGUGGACCUUGUGCGACUAAAGCUGCAGUCUUUUUCCCCUCCUUCUCUUUCAACCCUUUUGGUUUGAGAUGUGGAUACAUCUCCUAGCAUUUGUGCAUCACAUGUCCCGGUUCUUUACAAUGACUGCAAACUAAUCCUUCCUUCCCAUUAGACUCACAUUUUCCCUUCUUAGCAUCAUCCUUCUUGGCACCGGAACCAUUAGGUUUGCCACCAGAUUGCUUUCCAUCUCCCUUUAUGUCAUUUUUCUUCAACUUGCCUUCAAUGGCAAUAGCUUUCACAGUAGCCUCCUGUAUAGUUUCUACUGUAAACAACUUCAACUCAUUCCGAAUAUACCCACCUAAACCUGCCACGUACUUCAUGUAUAUGGAGUAAUCCUUUAGAUUAAUAUCCAAAACUAUUGAUUGAUUCUGAAAUUCGGUUGUAUAUUCUUGAACGGAUUGAUUGAAUCUCUGGCGUAAGUUAUACCACUUCUGCCAUCUUUCUUCCAGAAAUCUGUAACGCCCCAAAAUCAUAAUACGAAUCCCCAUGACUCAAUGUCAGGUCUCGAGGCAUUAGAAAACUCCAACCCAUUAUAAUCAUAUAAUAAUACCACAUUAUGAAUGAUAUUUAUGUAUAUAAUUGGCUUUAAAAAUACAUAACUUAAUAUAAUACAUAAUAAUACAAAUUAUGAUCACUUCUAUACAAAAGAAACUAAGUACAUCUAUCGCACGAAUACCUAUACCAAUACCCUCUGUAACCUCCGCACAACCAUAUCUGUUGAAUCGAUCUAUCCUCGAGCAACAGUUUAACUGAAAAGGGAUUAAUGAUAGGGUGGGCAUUUCCACUUACUCAGUAGUGACUCACAUUUCCAAAAUACUAUCUAAUCAUGCAUGACGAUUAACCAUACGAAAUAGUUGAAAUAAUGCAGGUUUUAACUGUAAUAAUAAAAUAUAUAAGUAAUUUGAUAAGUAAAUACUUUAAACCAAACCUUUUACCUUUUAUAGUAAUCAUACUAACCAUGCAUCCAUACAAUAAGUCGGGUAGUUGCAUCCUAUUAGAAUGAUGAGAUACGACCGUUAUAUCGCCCCGGUCGCAGGCAAUCUCUUGGUUCAAUACUUACCAGUGUGAACCUACACCGUUAUUUCCUGAUUUCCGGUGGGGUGACUGUAUUACUGUUAUUGUGUUCCCAGAACACUAAACCCGUCUAUUUAGGCUCAGGUGAGCCUUUGGCCACGAUUCCUGAUACAAGGAAUCCCUGACUUAUGGUGGUCAACCGUUCGACGACUGCCGACUGCACAGGAUCCUGACACACGUCCAGGAGUGGACUAACUCUCACCCCUCGUGUCUAAACCUCACCGAGGUAACAUGUAGCCUCAUCUGAACUAAUAUAUCAACAAUGUACCACUACAUGAUUGGUGGUCUGGAAUGGUGAAAAGGAAUUCUCGGAUACAUCUCUAAUGUAUCUCUCUAGAAGGCAGCCCAUUCACCUUCUAAAGGUGAACACCAUAGAUGUCAUCCUAGAAUGAACUACCGUCUCCGGAAUAUGACAACAACUCAUUCUUUAUAGGAAUUCACAAGUCCCUCUCCAAACUACCUCAUUAUAUAAAUAUAUAUAAUUUUAGUUACUUUCUUUUUAUUUUAAUUAACUAUAUAUAUAUAUAUAUAUAUAUAUAUAUAUAUAUUAAAUGUGUGGUGAGUCCCCAGAUUUAAACAAUAUCCAUGGCUACCCUAACCGGGCCACAACCAUAAUCGUGACAGCAUACCAGAUCAAUAUUUCCACCAAUCUAGGGACCUCACACAUCCCAGUUAUACAUUACAAUCGAGUUUCCUUGCUCUGCAUUACAAAAUCAAAUCUUUUCCACCAUUGGAAAGAGAUUUAUCGAGAAAUCCUUUUAUAAAACCAUUUCAAUAUACAUAUACUACUUUAAUAACUCCAGUUUAAAACAUGAUAUCUGUAACUAAUCACUUUAAUAAAAACUAUAAUCGAUAAACCACGAGUAAUCUAUAUAUACCAAACAAAACCAAGCAUGCAUUUUUAUCAUCAAUAAUAUAUCAAUUAAUUUACAACAUUUAAAAUAUGACACAUAAAAAGACAGUAUAAAAGAAAUGUAAAUCCCUACCUCAAUGCGCUCCUGCACCACUUCCAAAACCCCGAAGAAAUGCACUAUGCCAAACUCCUAAAAUGACAAUCAAAAUCAUAAAUAUAUAAUCUAUAAAAUAAUGUGAAACUACCACUUAUUGCCCUAGUCGCGCAGUCUCGUGUUCCUAACAGGUUUUGCACUCCCUAUUACGCUCAAUCAAACCCUACAGGUCAGGAUAGCCAUUUCUGGUCACAAGUAUUAAACUAGCUGGUCACCAAUAAAGUUGGAACAAACGAAUUACCAGGGUGUAUGUUCCAGGCCAAGCACCAAAACCGGCCUCAAUCGAACUACCAGAUCUCAUCACUCAGGUGGACAUAGACUAUUAAAGAGGGUAUAUAUGCUUCUAGCUACAGCCCCUUCCUUUAACCAUUCCUAUUAAUCACUACAUUUCCUAUAUUGAUUAACCACAAAUAUAGAGUGAUACCUAUAUAUCCAGUGAGUUGUGUGCUUCAAACCACUAAUCACAUUUUGGUGUUUCACUAAAGUUAUCGAGUCCCUAUCUUACAACUUAAGUGACGAGAACAUACCGGUGCGUCAAAACUAGAUUCCUCUUGCUGAUCACAUCCUAUUCAUUCAUUUUCUUUGAUUGUUUUCUUCAUUCAACCACAAAUUCAACUUCUCUUCUUAAUCACUUCCCUCCAUUUUUGGCGUCUUAUUCUUUUGUUCUUUGAAUUUCUUUCUUUAUUUUCUUCACAAGGCAAACUAGAAAAUCAGGUGCUUAAGAAUUGAAAAUGUGCUCAACUGUAACCUUAUUAAUUUCUAUUAAUCUUCUUCCCCAAGCAAAAGAUAGGAAGGUGAGAUGUAUUGCACAAACCGACGUACUGGCUAUUACUUUUCAC